GAUUGCAGGCUGCAACCCGCCUGCAUGAAGUCGGAAUUGCUAGUAAUCGCGGAUCAGCAUGCCGCGGUGAAUACGUUCCCGGGCCUUGUACACACCGCCCGUCACACCAUGGGAGCCGGUAAUACCCGAAGUCAGUAGUCCAACCACGUGAGGACGCUGCCGAAGGUAGGAUUGGCGACUGGGGUGAAGUCGUAACAAGGUAGC
RNAcentral lists this ribosomal RNA (204 nucleotides) under uncultured bacterium. RNAcentral describes it as "partial 16S ribosomal RNA". It matches the Rfam family "Bacterial small subunit ribosomal RNA", at positions 1296 to 1500 of the family's 1533-position model. The record is from RNAcentral.